RNAcentral lists this ribosomal RNA (1431 nucleotides) under Triticum aestivum (bread wheat). RNAcentral's name for it is "partial small subunit ribosomal RNA". The record is from RNAcentral. Lineage: Eukaryota; Viridiplantae; Streptophyta; Magnoliopsida; Poales; Poaceae.
ACCUUUAGGUUAAAGCGAGGGCCCUCGUGCACGCUUUUUAAUGAAAACUUUACAGUCUUUUUAGGGUUGUUUAAAAAUACAUAAGUAUCAGUGUAGUUUUACGAUGGACGUUUCAAAGUCCGUUUUUCCAAUUUAUAAAAUCGUACACGUUUUUUUUCUUUAAUCUGUGGUUUACAAUGUGUUUUUCCAGUAGAAUUAUAUAAAAAAGUGGCUGUUUUGUGAUGACGAGACAAGGGGUACUUUUAACAGUUCGUACGAACACGUGAUUGUGUUUGUAGGUUGUUUUACUCUUAAAAAAAUUUUGUCAAAUGGUCAAAAAAACUCCAUGAUAAAGUACGCCCUCACGUACGAGGUCCUCGGUUUUGCGCGGAGGGGGAAGCAGGAAAAGGAAAAAAAAGUUUCUUUAGACGUCUUCUCGAGCACAAGUAGGUAACUACCCCCGACGUUUUCGGGCCUUCAUUCUACGUUUGGCUCUUUUGCUUAUUCUAGGCAUGCUUAUAUAGGAAAAGAACUCGAGAAAGCGACGGUGCUUGAAAGUGAAAUAUGCUAGUGUUGUAUUUGUUGCUUAUUUUCGACGCAAGUCGUAGAAGCUUGGCGGCCGGGUUUUCCCAAACCUACCGUAUAUAAGAGCUCGUUACCGGUGGAGGGCUGGCCAAUAAGGUGGUCCUUUGGUGCAGGUGACCGGUACAGCCGCUCUGUUACCGCAGCGCAAGUAGGUAGAAGUAGAAGAUCGAUCGUAUCCCUGGCAGAGCUCUUCGGCGGUGGCCGCGUAAACCGUGCAGAUGGACUGCAGUUUAGCUCGACGGACCGCCUCUGUUGGCUGGUCCGUAGUGUUAGCAUCAUGCACUGUUGCCCGAUGCGACGUUUAGACACCGUGCGUGCUGGGCUCCUUCUCAGCCGAGGUGUCCACUAACAAUGCAAUGCAUGCUCAGAUACGGCGUUGAUAUAUUGCGUCAAGCUUUUAAGGUUUAGGUUGAAGUGCACGCACUAUAUUAGAGCUUGCUUUUGCUCUCAGUCUAUCGCUCUACCUUGCGUGCACACCGCGUUUUAAUCACAUAUUGAAAGUUGUUUGGCUUGUUCGUACUUGGUUCUACGUUGGGUCGGUUCUUUUUGUGGUUUAGGUCGUUUCAUGUCCUCUUCAGGCACUGGUUCUCUUGUUUUUUUUAUCAUAGACCGGGAAGAGGGGAGUCACUGAUGUGGAUCGGUUGUUCACAGUCAUGGUCGUAUCACGGUCUGCCAAGCAAUAAGCUGCUUUUAUCUUUCCCAAUAAAGUCUCCCACCAACAAGGAGUGAACCGGUAGUACUGGAACUGCUUGAGCAGCAUCAACUAGACCGGCAGCGGUAGGUGCAGCCGGAGCGCCUGGUAGAGGAGGUGGAGGAGCCUUUCGAAGAGGGGCUCCAACCAGUAGUGGACCGCCUCGAGGCGACGUC